AACGAACGCUGGCGGCAGGCUUAACACAUGCAAGUCGAACGGUUGUAGCAAUACAUCAGUGGCAGACGGGUGAGUAACACGUGGGAACCUUCCUAGGGGUACGGAACAACUCAGGGAAACUUGAGCUAAUACCGUAUACGUCCGUGAGGAGAAAGAUUUAUCGCCCUUAGACGGGCCCGCGUCGGAUUAGCUAGUUGGUGGGGUAACGGCCUACCAAGGCGACGAACCGUAGCUGAUCUUAGAGGAUGAUCAGCCACACUGGGACUGAGACACGGCCCAGACUCCUGCGGGAGGCAGCAGUGGGGAAUCUUGGACAGUGGGCGCAAGCCUGAUCCAGCCAUGCCGCGUGAGUGAAGAAGGUCUUCGGAUUGUAAAGCUCUUUUGCCAGGGACGAUAAUGACGGUACCUGGAGAAUAAGCCCCGGCAAACUUCGUGCCAGCAGCCGCUGUAA
RNAcentral lists this ribosomal RNA (451 nucleotides) under uncultured bacterium. RNAcentral's name for it is "partial 16S ribosomal RNA". It matches the Rfam family "Bacterial small subunit ribosomal RNA", at positions 29 to 523 of the family's 1533-position model. The record is from RNAcentral.